UACCCGGUGGUGAAACGGUAUCACAACAGGUUUUGGUCCUGUCUUUCCAGGUUCGAAUCCUGGCCGGGUAGC
This 72-nucleotide transfer RNA is filed under the name Planctomyces sp. SH-PL62. Its description in RNAcentral is "tRNA-Gln". It matches the Rfam family "tRNA". Rfam says of the family: Transfer RNA (tRNA) molecules are approximately 80 nucleotides in length. Lineage: Bacteria; Pseudomonadati; Planctomycetota; Planctomycetia; Planctomycetales; Planctomycetaceae. The record is from RNAcentral.